CGGGCGUGAUGUCAAACGCCGGCCUGACGCGCUGUGGAGGGAAAAGACUGAUUUAAUGAGGCUGAUCC
Molecule: small nucleolar RNA, 68 nt
Filed under: Nipponia nippon (crested ibis)
Lineage: Eukaryota; Metazoa; Chordata; Aves; Pelecaniformes; Threskiornithidae
Source: RNAcentral